GCUUGCUUCAUGAUUCAGACCUUGGUGAGUGGCGGACGGGUGAGUAACACGUGGGUAACCUGCCCAGAAGUGGGGGAUAACAUUUGGAAACAAGUGCUAAUACCGCAUAACAACAUUUAUCUCAUGAUUUUUGUUUAAAAGAUGGUUCUGCUAUCUCUUCUGGAUGGACCCGCGGCGUAUUAGCUAGUUGGUGAGGUAAUAGCUCACCAAGGCGAUGAUACGUAGCCGACCUGAGAGGGUAAUCGGCCACAUUGGGACUGAGACACGGCCCAAACUCCUACGGGAGGCAGCAGUAGGGAAUCUUCCACAAUGGACGAAAGUCUGAUGGAGCAACGCCGCGUGAGUGAAGAAGGUUUUCGGAUCGUAAAACUCUGUUGUUGAAGAAGAACAUAUGUGAGAGUAACUGUUCACGUACUGACGGUAUUCAACCAGAAAGCCACGGCUAACUACGUGCCAGCAGCCGCGGUAAUACGUAG
This 476-nucleotide ribosomal RNA is filed under the name Companilactobacillus paralimentarius. Its description in RNAcentral is "bacterial SSU rRNA". It matches the Rfam family "Bacterial small subunit ribosomal RNA", at positions 66 to 530 of the family's 1533-position model. Lineage: Bacteria; Bacillati; Bacillota; Bacilli; Lactobacillales; Lactobacillaceae. The record is from RNAcentral.